Molecule: ribosomal RNA, 93 nt
Filed under: uncultured bacterium
Lineage: Bacteria
Description: partial 16S ribosomal RNA
Source: RNAcentral
UUGUAAAGCACUUUAGGUGGGGAAGAAGGCACAUAUUUUAAGAGAUAAUAUGUUUGACGGUACCCACAGAAUAAGCACCGGCUAACUCUGUGC